UACGGGAGGCAGCAGUGGGGAAUUUUGGACAAUGGGGGCAMCCCUGAUCCACCCAUGCCGCGUGAGUGAUGAAGGCCUUAGGGUCGUAAAKCUCUUUCGCCUGUGAUGAUAAUGACAGUAGCAGGUAAAGAAACCCCGGCUAACUCCGUGCCAGCAGCCGCGGUAAUGCGGAGGGGGUUAGCGUUGUUCGGAAUUACUGGGCGUAAAGCGCGCGUAGGCGGAUUAGUCAGUUAGAGGUGAAAUCCCAGGGCUCAACCCUGGAACUGCCUUUAAUACUGCUAGUCUUGAGUUCGAGAGAGGUGAGUGGAAUUCCGCCCGUAGAGGUGAAAUUCGUAGAUAUUCGGAGGAACACCAGCGGCGAAGGCGGCUCGUUGCCUCCACACAGAAGAUGAGGCCCGCAAGUA
Molecule: ribosomal RNA, 404 nt
Filed under: uncultured marine bacterium
Lineage: Bacteria
Description: bacterial SSU rRNA
Rfam family: Bacterial small subunit ribosomal RNA
Source: RNAcentral